This 70-nucleotide transfer RNA is filed under the name Dipodomys ordii (Ord's kangaroo rat). It matches the Rfam family "tRNA". From Rfam's summary of the family: Transfer RNA (tRNA) molecules are approximately 80 nucleotides in length. Their secondary structure includes four short double-helical elements and three loops (D, anti-codon, and T loops). Further hydrogen bonds mediate the characteristic L-shaped molecular structure. tRNAs have two regions of fundamental functional importance: the anti-codon, which is responsible for specific mRNA codon recognition, and the 3' end, to which the tRNAs corresponding amino acid is attached (by aminoacyl-tRNA synthetases). tRNAs cope with the degeneracy of the genetic code in two manners: having more than one tRNA (with a specific anti-codon) for a particular amino acid; and 'wobble' base-pairing, i.e. permitting non-standard base-pairing at the 3rd anti-codon position. Lineage: Eukaryota; Metazoa; Chordata; Mammalia; Rodentia; Heteromyidae. The record is from Rfam by way of RNAcentral.
GGUAAGGUGGCUCAGUGGUAGAGCACUUGCCUUGCAUGCAUGAGGCCCUGGGUUCAAUUCCUCAGCACCA